GAUGAACGCUAGCUACAGGCUUAACACAUGCAAGUCGAGGGGCAGCAUGGUCUUAGCUUGCUAAGGCCGAUGGCGACCGGCGCACGGGUGAGUAACACGUAUCCAACCUGCCGUCUACUCUUGGACAGCCUUCUGAAAGGAAGAUUAAUACAAGAUGGCAUCAUGAGUCCGCAUGUUCACAUGAUUAAAGGUAUUCCGGUAGACGAUGGGGAUGCGUUCCAUUAGAUAGUAGGCGGGGUAACGGCCCACCUAGUCUUCGAUGGAUAGGGGUUCUGAGAGGAAGGUCCCCCACAUUGGAACUGAGACGCGGUCCAAACUCCUACGGGAGGCAGCAGUGAGGAAUAUUGGUCAAUGGGCGAGAGCCUGAACCAGCCAAGUAGCGUGAAGGAUGACUGCCCUAUGGGUUGUAAACUUCUUUUAUAAAGGAAUAAAGUCGGGUAUGGAUACCCGUUUGCAUGUACUUUAUGAAUAAGGAUCGGCUAACUCCGUG
This 490-nucleotide ribosomal RNA is filed under the name uncultured bacterium. Its description in RNAcentral is "partial 16S ribosomal RNA". It matches the Rfam family "Bacterial small subunit ribosomal RNA", at positions 28 to 507 of the family's 1533-position model. The record is from RNAcentral.